This 253-nucleotide ribosomal RNA is filed under the name uncultured bacterium. Its description in RNAcentral is "partial 16S ribosomal RNA". It matches the Rfam family "Bacterial small subunit ribosomal RNA", at positions 524 to 776 of the family's 1533-position model. The record is from RNAcentral.
UACGUAGGGGGCAAGCGUUGUUCGGAGUUACUGGGCGUAAAGGGUGUGUAGGCGGUUGUUUAAGUUUGGGGUGAAAUCUCCCGGCUCAACUGGGAGGGUGCGCCGAAUACUGAAUGACUAGAGUGCGGGAGAGGAAAGUGGAAUUCCUGGUGUAGCGGUGAAAUGCGUAGAUAUCAGGAGGAACACCGGUGGUGUAGACGGCUUUCUGGACCGUAACUGACGCUGAGACACGAAAGCGUGGGUAGCAAACAGG